Molecule: transfer RNA, 75 nt
Filed under: Nocardiopsaceae bacterium
Lineage: Bacteria; Bacillati; Actinomycetota; Actinomycetes; Streptosporangiales; Nocardiopsidaceae
Description: tRNA-Ala
Source: RNAcentral
GGGGAUGAGAAGCUGAGGUAGCGGGCGCGCCCUGCAAGCGCCGCCGACCCGGUUCGAUUCCGGGCAUCUCCACCA